UUAAAAAGCUCGUAGUUGAAUUUCGGGGUCAGUAGGUCGGUCGUGCCACUGGUAUGAACUGGUUUUACUGAUUCCUCCCUCUUGAAGAACUGUAAUGCCAUUAAUUUGGUGUUGCAGGGAAUCAGGACUGUUACUUUGAAAAAAUUAGAGUGUUUAAAGCAGGCUUUAGUUUGAAUACAUUAGCAUGGAAUAAUGAAAUAGGACGUUUGAUCCUAUUUUGUUGGUUUCUAGGGUUGACGUAAUGAUUAAUAGGGAUAGUUGGGGG
Molecule: ribosomal RNA, 265 nt
Filed under: uncultured Glomeromycotina
Lineage: Eukaryota; Fungi; Glomeromycota
Description: partial 18S ribosomal RNA
Rfam family: Eukaryotic small subunit ribosomal RNA
Source: RNAcentral